This 322-nucleotide ribosomal RNA is filed under the name uncultured eukaryote. Its description in RNAcentral is "partial 18S ribosomal RNA". It matches the Rfam family "Eukaryotic small subunit ribosomal RNA", at positions 1470 to 1796 of the family's 1831-position model. The record is from RNAcentral.
CCCUUAGAUGUUCUGGGCCGCACGCGUGCUACACUGAGUGGAUCAGCGGGUCAGGUUGCGCGAAAGCGUUUCCUAAACUUUAAAUCCGCUCGUGAUGGGGAUUGACGGUUGCAAUUUUCUGUCAUGAACGAGGAAUACCUUGUAAGCGCGGGUCAUCAUCCCGCGCUGAAUACGUCCCUGCCCUUUGUACACACCGCCCGUCGCUCCUACCGAUUGAGUGGUCCGGUGAGGCUUUGGGAUCUGAGCGGAAAGAGCGUUUCGCUGUUUCUGCUCGGAAAACUCAGUCGAACCUUAUCAUUUAGAGGAAGGAGAAGUCGUAACA